Molecule: ribosomal RNA, 253 nt
Filed under: uncultured bacterium
Lineage: Bacteria
Description: partial 16S ribosomal RNA
Rfam family: Bacterial small subunit ribosomal RNA
Source: RNAcentral
UACGUAGGGUGCGAGCGUUGUCCGGAAUUAUUGGGCGUAAAGAGCUUGUAGGCGGUUUGUCGCGUCUGCCGUGAAAUUUCGAGGCUCAACCUCGAACUUGCGGUGGGUACGGGCAGACUAGAGUGUGGUAGGGGAGACUGGAAUUCCUGGUGUAGCGGUGAAAUGCGCAGAUAUCAGGAGGAACACCGAUGGCGAAGGCAGGUCUCUGGGCUACUACUGACGCUGAGAAGCGAAAGCAUGGGGAGCGAACAGG